GUAGGUGGCAAGCGUUGUCCGGAAUUAUUGGGCGUAAAGCGCGCGCAGGUGGUUCUUUAAGUCUGAUGUGAAAGCCCCCGGCUCAACCGGGGAGGGUCAUUGGAAACUGGGGGAACUUGAGUGCAGGAGAGGAAAGUGGAAUUCCACGUGUAGCGGUGAAAUGCGUAGAUAUGUGGAGGAACGCCAGUGGCGAAGGCGACUUUCUGGCCUGUAACUGACACUGAGGCGCGAAAGCGUGGGGAGCAAACAGGGAUUAGAUACCCUGGUAGUCCACGCCGUAAACGAUGAGUGCUAAGUGUUGGGGGGGUUUCCCGCCCCUCAGUGCCUGCAGCUAACGCAUUAAGCACUCCGCCUGGGGAUACGGUCGCAAGACUG
This 375-nucleotide ribosomal RNA is filed under the name uncultured organism. RNAcentral's name for it is "partial 16S ribosomal RNA". It matches the Rfam family "Bacterial small subunit ribosomal RNA", at positions 527 to 896 of the family's 1533-position model. The record is from RNAcentral.